This 441-nucleotide ribosomal RNA is filed under the name Actinomycetales bacterium ITRH51. RNAcentral's name for it is "bacterial SSU rRNA". It matches the Rfam family "Bacterial small subunit ribosomal RNA", at positions 28 to 487 of the family's 1533-position model. Lineage: Bacteria; Bacillati; Actinomycetota; Actinomycetes; Actinomycetales. The record is from RNAcentral.
GACGAACGCUGGCGGCGUGCUUAACACAUGCAAGUCGAACGAUGAACCACUUCGGUGGGGAUUAGUGGCGAACGGGUGAGUAACACGUGGGCAAUCUGCCCUGCACUCUGGGACAAGCCCUGGAAACGGGGUCUAAUACCGGAUACUGACCCGCUUGGGCAUCCAAGCGGUUCGAAAGCUCCGGCGGUGCAGGAUGAGCCCGCGGCCUAUCAGCUUGUUGGUGAGGUAAUGGCUCACCAAGGCGACGACGGGUAGCCGGCCUGAGAGGGCGACCGGCCACACUGGGACUGAGACACGGCCCAGACUCCUACGGGAGGCAGCAGUGGGGAAUAUUGCACAAUGGGCGAAAGCCUGAUGCAGCGACGCCGCGUGAGGGAUGACGGCCUUCGGGUUGUAAACCUCUUCAGCAGGGAAGAAGCGAAAUUGACGUACCCGCAGAAG